CCUCCUCUGACAGUAUGCAUAAUAUUAUGAACAAUCCAAAGGACUAUUCAUGGUGAUUUGUCUGUUUUAUUUAUUACAAAAGAAACUAAGCUUUAUUGCCACAUUACAUAACUAUAUAUUCCUCAUUCUUUUGGUUUGAUGACAAGCCCCACAUAACUAUAUAUUCCUCAUUCUUUUGGUUUGAUUGCAAUGCCUUUGAUGACAAGCCCCUGCUUCCACAUACCACCAUCAUAUUCAAACAAAGAUAUCUCCAUCUCACCACCAUCUUUCUCACAUGCUACAAACUCACCAACCGGAACCUCUAUCCACCUUCCCCUUAACAUCUCCAUUAAAUUCACCUUGUGUUGCUGCUUCUUUCCUCCUGGAAGAACAAGUCUAACAUUUAUCGGAAGUUCCCAACCCUGAGCCGGAUCUUUCAACAUUACAUAAAAUGAAACUUGAUAUAAAAUUCCUGGUGAAAGCUUUCUAGUGUCAAAUUUUCCAUGCACUUCUAGCCAACAAACUCUCUUCAGUUCAGCUACCUCACUCAUCCCGUCGCUACAAAACAUAUCUUACAUUAAUCACGACUAAAAACUAUGUAACGUAAUAUGAAAUCACUCAUAUGUAUGUGUACCUUGCAUCUUUUUGCUGUAUCCAUUUCCAGUAAAUUGGAUUCUCUGCCCAAGUGAUUGAUAGUGCUCUUGCAUACAACAUAAAACAGUUGGCGUUGGUCUUCUUCUCAACCCAAUAUUUCUACAAACAACGGUAAUCAUUUCUCAAUGCAUAAGUAAUAGUUUCAUUGACAAAUAACUUAUACUAAAAAUAAAAAUUCAUUUUGAAACUUGCCUUAGUUUUAUCAUGUAAGAACACACCAGCAUGUAGUCGAUCAAACAUCUUUUCCUUGAAAGAUCUAUCAACCGGUGAGUCUGCAUCCCUUAAUAUGUGCUCAAAGUUGUGAGGAAAACUUAGUUGUGCUGAUUGAGUCUCAUAUUUGGCUUUUACAGCUGGGCCCUUUUGUACCACCUUUCUGGAGGGUUCUAUGUUUUGUUGUGGAGACAGCAACAAGUUUUCCCUUGUGGGAGAUAAUCGUAGUUCUUCCUUAUUUUUGGUUGGUUCAUUUGGUUGGUGAUGCUUUUGUUGUGGCUGUGACUGUGAAUGAUGAUGUGUUUGAGGAUGUUGGUGCUGCUGCUCUAGCUCUGAUAGAGAAAGGUGAUGCUUUUGUUGUGGCUGUGACUGUGAAUGAUGAUGUGUUUGAGGAUGUUGGUGCUGCUGCUCUAGCUCUGAUAGAGAAGCCCCCAUUUCAGUUGGUAUGCUAUAUGUUUUUCAUUCGUGCUUGCUUUUAUUUAUAUAUAAAAUUAGAUACUGUUAUUUUAGAAAGUAAUGUAUUCUCUGAUUAGGAACAUUUGCCUCAGACCGUGAGUUGAUGAUCCUUUUGGAAUAUUACAUAUUGUGAGAAUUUUUUUUACUCUGUAGAAAAUUCUCAAGGUGGUGGUUUAUUUAUCAUAAUGACAUAGGAAAUGUAUUUGUUAAAAAACACCAAAAAUAAGUAUGGGUGAUAUUCAUUUUAUCUGAAGUCUAAUUAGAGUAUUAUUAAACCUGCAUUUAUAUCCAUUAAAUAGUGGGUAUUUAAAUAUCCAUUUAUUUUAUCAGCAGAUAUUCAUUAAGUUACCCGCCCCGUAUUCGUGAUAGAUUUUAUUUGGCGCCACCAACGGAUACACAUUUUUUUUGCCAUCCCUAAAUUUUACCUUCUUCGAUCUUGAGAUCAGAUAUGUCCAUAAUAGUUUUUUUCUAAAAUAAUCUUCAUCAUUCUUGUGGACUUAGGUGCCAAAGCUUCCUACGCCACAAAUUAGUUUCUUCAACUUUAGAUAUGAGACAAGAUUGGGGUUUAUUUUCAUAAGUGGGUGACCACAAGUAGCAAUUGUUAGUAGAUCUAGAAUCCUUCAUGAGUUAAGUGUGUUGUUUAUAUGUAAUCGUGCAUUCUUCGCUAUUAAACUUAAUGCUUAAAUCCUGAUCACAUAAUUAACGGAUGAUGAUGAAAUUUUCAAUAAGACUAUCAAUCAACAACACAUCUUUAAGAUAAGGAAGUCCAAGACAAUCUAACUGACCCUUUUCAAUAAUUUAUCAUCUAACACCAUCGUAAAAACUAACAUAAUAGUUGGAAUAGGGUUUGAUAUUCUUUAGAUAGUUCCUUUCAUUAGCCACAUGUCUUUAAUAAUUUCUAUUAAAGUACUAGUUUUCUCUAGAUGAAACCUUGAGAAAGUUGCAAGCAAUAUUAGCUUGAAGCUUAGGCUUGUCACGUUAUAGUUAUUGAGGAUGCCGAUCAGUCUUUAUAUUCCACUAGGGAUAUAGUUGUUUUUAUGUAGAUUUUUACCAUAUAGUUUAUAACAUAAAGGAUGAAUGUGCCCACACCAACCAUAGUAAUAACAAACCCUUAGAGAUUUGACUAAGGUGUUAGUGUGCUACUAAUAAUGUUAGGUAGGUUGUUGUGACAUUAUACCAUACAUCGUAGUUUCUGAUUUAUGUGUAGGAGGAACAAACACAAUAUUUGGGGAUGAUGAUAUGCUAGUAUAUCAAACUUCUUUUUAUUCUUUGCAAGUUUGUCCAUACUUAAAAUGUCAUCAAGUUUAUCAUAUCCAUAAUUUAGCAUGCGCACAUAUUUGGUCAUACCUUCAAGUUUAGAAUUAAGACGCCCAACUUCUUGCUUCAAAUCAUUAAUAGUGAGCAUGGUUCAAUUUUUUUCUUGAAAAAUAGUUUCAAUUCAUACCUUUUUUUGUUAAUCACUUUUGAUUCUUCAUUCCACUUUAAAUAAAGAGUUUGUAUAUGCUUCAUAAAGGGCAUCAAUCGAUAGCUCAUCUUCAUCACUUUCAUUCCCAUUACAAUUAGGAAAUAUAUAAGCAUUAGGUAACUCCGGAUUAGAAAUCUCUUUGAAACGAGUAGUAAGAGCCACAACAUUAUUUGUUUGAUCAAACUCACGUUCUUUGUCAGAUUCAUCAUCUGAAAAGGCGACAUUAUAGUUUUUUCUUUUUUUUAUUAUAAAAUUAGAACAUUCAAAUUUGAUAUGUCCAAAUCCUUCACAUUCACGACAUUGAAUUUCUUUAGCUCUGUUGGGAUCACAGAGUUUUUUAUUUUACCAUAUUUUCCUCGACGCUAAAAUUUACCACUUUUCAGAUUUUGUUGUUGAUUGUCUUUGACAUUGGAAUGACAUUGUUCCAAAUCUUCUAUCAAUUUUCUCAUGCUAAAGCUCUUAGUGAGUAUAGAAGUAGAUUCAGUUAAAUUAUCAUCAGUGUCAUUGACUACAUGGUCUUCAUGAUCAACAAUGUCAACUUUGGUACACCUUUAUUCUUUCUCUCAGAUUUUUCAUCAAUGACAAUAUCAAAGGUGGGUAAGGAGUCAAUCAAUUAAUUAAAUUUCAUUUUGAAGAUAUUUCUAGCUUCCUCAAUGGUAGUAACCUUCAUAAUAAACCUCUUUGGUGGAGAUCCUAGAAAUUUUCUUAUAGGCUUCUCGUAUGACAUUUUUUCACUAAGAGCGAAUGAGUUAUUAGUAAUGUCACAAAGAUGUACAUUAAAUUCACUAAUAGGUUCAUCCUCAAACAUAUUCAAAAUUUCAAAUUUAGUGGUAAAAAGUUGAAGUCUUGACAUAAAAACUUUGGAAGUUCCCUAAUGAGCAACUUCAAGAUUUUUUCAUUCCUCUUUAGCACUAGUGCUUAUGUUAAUGAUUCAUUCCCCUAACUAUAUUUUUGUAAACUCCAUUGUAAAUAGAAUUAUGAAAAUGAUAACUCCCAAGUGCUUCUUCAUCUUCGACAUAUGUCCAAUCUUUUCCAGGCUUCACAUAUUCUAAAUCAUCAUCAUCUUUGAUCGUAGGAGGAUUUCAUUCAUUGAUGAUCUUUUUCCAAGUUUUGUCAUCCAUGAUCUUAAGAAAGGAGACCAUAUGUUCUUCCAAUAGUCAUAAUUAGUACCAUCAAGAAUUGGUGGAUGGUUAAUAUAUCCUAAUUCCUUGGUAUUGUCCAUCUUAAACAUAAUAUGAUAGAUACCCUAAAAUGCACCCAACUAAAGCAGGGUGCAUGCUCUGAUGCCCAUUAAAAUUAUGUUUGAUCGAUAACAAGAUGUCACACACAAUGUAGAAACAAUGCGUGAGACAAAUUGAUAUGAAAUAAUCGAUGAACAAUCAAAUAAAUUAUAAAUAAGAAACACAAAGAAUUGGUAUCCCAGUCUGGUGCAAUCAUCACUUAUGUGCGGAGGGUUGUAGCCCAAAGGAAAAGAAAUUCACUAAUUAGAAGUAGUCAAUAGUAUACGACGGUCUCAUCUUAAGGAAUAUCUUGAGUUUCUUGAAGAAAGUAAUAAAAUGCUUAAGUUCGAAUUUGCUAGUAUUAGAAAAUCAACUUAAACAUGUGAGACUUGCGUCUCUUUGAAAAAGGAAGUGACAGAUCUAUAUGAAAUCUUAAGUAAGUUUACUAAGGAAAAAUAAAACAUUGACCUGAUCUUAUUAAGUCAAAAUCCUUCCUUAAAUAAAAUUGGAUUUGUUAAAAAUUUCAAGAAUAUCAAAAAUAAAUAUUGGUGAUAUUCCUUUUUUUAAUCUAAUUGGAGUUUUAACUUCUUUCUAUUUAAAUAUUAGAUAAAUAAACAAUCAAAAAUUAAUAUUUUUUUAAUUUAAUUGACAUUUUGACUUCUAUUUAUAAAAAUAUAUAUUGAAGUAACAUUUUCUCUUUUAAUCGAGUUGGUUUUGACAUUUUCUAUUAUUUUUAGUCGAUGAUUUUUUGAACAUUUUUAUCGAUGCUUCACAAAGGACUAAUGGUAAAACAUUUUUUUAAAAGAUAAACUUCAACAAAAAUUGUUUCACCUUAUUUUAAUCUCAUUCUUUCAUACUGAGUAACCUUUAUAAUUGGUCGAAUUGUUACUCGAAUGUUUUGCAUGGAUCAUAUCGCUAACUAUUUCUUGCAAUGAACGAUUCUUCGUUUCACCAAUUCCAUUAUGGUGAGGUGUGAUGAGGGCAGGGAGUUCAUGGACAAUCCCUUCAGUUGUGCAGAAAUGAGAGAAGCUGGAGUUCUCAAAUUAUCUGACAAGAUCGCUUCGAAUGGGAAUGAUAUUGGAAAGUUCUUAUCCCUUUUCACCUUGUAGAGGACGACAAAGAGUUUCAAAAUAAUGAAGGUGUCAUACUUUUCACGAAUAAACUCCAUCUGGUGUACCUGGAGUAGUCAUAAACAUACACAAAAACAUAUCUCUUAUCUUCAAGACUCUCAACUUGCAUAGGUCUCAUAAAAUCCAUAUGAAGUAAUUCAAGAAUACGAGUAGUGGUAAGAUAUUGAGCCUUCUUAUCUGAAAUCUUAUUUUGCCUCCUAAUCUAAUAGUCUCACUACUACAAAAAUCAUAUUUUACCUUGGACGUCAAUGGGAUUUUACCUUGCUUACUUAAGUGAGAUAACGAAUGACGUCAUAAAAACUUGCCAUUUUACCCAUCGGUUUCUGAUUAACUGAGGGGAUAGUUGAAAUUGUCAUUUUUUCGACCCCCAACAACAACAUUUUUAUAUUUUUAAAACUAACGCCACAUACCUCGGUUUCUAUCAAAAACCGAGGGAAAAAUAUUUUUUUGAAAUACAAAUUACAUUGUUUACACAGAAUAUUAAAUUACAUUGUUUUAAAAUAUCUAUUUCUUUAUUAAAGUACAAAGUUUAUUAUGUUACAUUGUUUUGGUUUCAAUAUACAAGUACACAUUUUUGACAAAUCUGAUUCAUCAUCACCACUCUUAUUCUUGAAGAAGAACAAAUCCAUAUUUCGUUGCAUACCCAUUGCUUUUCAAGUUCAAUAGUUUUGCACGCUUUCAAUUUUUGAUUUAACAUAAAAAAGGUUAUAUACAUAACAUAAAAUUUCAGUUAAAAGAUAAGAUAUUAUGUAAGAAUAUCACCCUUGGAACAAUUUUUUUAUGCACUUGCAAUCCAUCCCAGAUAUUUGUUACAAGCUUCAAAUUGCUUUUCAUGGUCAAUGCUUCAUUGUCAAUGUUUAGGUUUCAAAGGACAACGCCUAUGAUAUAUAGUGGUGGUGUUCGUGUUCUUAUUGGAUGUAAUGGGUAUCUUGUGGAUUGAUGUGUUGACAAUAUCUUGAGCGUUGUUACUGUAUGAAUGUAGGACAUAAAUUCAUUAUAGGCUAAUUGAGUAACUAUACCCCUCGGUUCUUUUAUGAAAGAACCAAGGUAAUAUAUUACUUGCAAAACCAAAUGGUGAAUGGUAAAAAGUUGAAAGUAACAUGUAUUAUUUCCUUUUUUAGAUUUUUACCAUUCAUCACUUUCUUUGUGUGCUGGCAUAUUCAAAUAAAGGAUUGUAUUCAAUACAAAUUUUCAAGAUCUUAUAUUAUGAAACAAAAAGAUUUCUUGUAAUUUAUAGUAUGUUUAAGAACAAAUUUCUCAUGUUGUCAAUCGAGAAACAAAUAAAUUAUGGAGUGUUUUUUUUACUGACAACAUAGGAAGUUAUUCCAAAAUAUAACAAUCGUCUUGCAAUAGGUGGAAACAACAACAACAACAACACCGCAAAAACCCAUUAUGUGAGAUAGAUUGCGAGAGCAUAAUUUUUUUUGUUCAAGGUUGGUGUUAGAAGAACAACAUACAACACAAAACCUUGAAUAUUUUCUCUGUCUUGCAAUCCAUCCUAAAGAAAAAUGUGUACGAGUUUGGAAACAAUGGAAAAAACUCAGAAACCCCAAAAAAGAAAACGUGACACAAUGGAAUCAAAUCCAAGUCAAGGGAAUUGGUAGACCAGAGCCUCAACAAUCUCAACCACUAACCUCAAUCUGUCAAACAAUGGCAAUGAAUGAUAUAUAAGAGAAAACAAACGCAAUAAAUGGUAUAACAAAAUGAACAUCAAAACUUAGUACCAACACUAUGCUUUCAUGAACAACCAUGUUUAUCUACUUCUUCACAUUGCAAAUAAACAAACUCCAAAACUCAAACCAAACAUGACACAAAUUCAAGUUCUCAUCAAAAGAAACAUGAAGGUGAUAAUGGCAAAGAUGAUGGCUAUCAAUUAUGAAUUAUUUUUAGUGUCUCACCCUUCAAUGUAUCUACUCAAGUGACAAACAACAAACUACUCAGAAAACAAAAAAUGGCCACUGCAUUUCCAACUUCAUGUUUAAUUAAGGUCAUUUUUAAGCAAGUAAUAAACAAUCUAAAAGAAAUGAAAACCAAGAGAAACAUAAACAAUGCAUUCUCAAACAAACAAAACCAGAAUGAACGCAACAAAACCUUUACACUGAAGGCAAUGGCAAUGGAUGUGGUUCUCGGUGAUGAUAUUGUGGGCGCCAGUGAAACUCACGAUGAAGGAGUUUAAGGAUGGUUCCCAGCGAUGGUAUCAUGGAAGCAAAGGUUGUCGCUUGAUGCGUAUGUUGGUGGUUUACGAAGAGGAUGGUGUUUCUCACGGUGGCUUUGAUGUUGAAGUGAAGGGAGUUGUUUGAAUGAUGAUUACACAGUUGUGAGGAGAAGAUGUGGUGAAUAAGGGUGGUGUCACGGUUGUGAAGAUUUACAGGGUGUGAGUUUUGUUUGGAAGAGUGGAAGAUGAGGUAAGUGGUUGAAUGGUAUGUGGUUUGUGGUUUGUGUAUUUUGAUGUAGGGAGAUGAAAGAGGUAUGGCGUAUGGGAGUUGAAGGUUUGUUGUUUUAUAAUGGAAAAAGAGUGAAGAAGAAUUAUAGUGGAGAGGUAUUUUUAGGAAGAAGAGGGUGUGAGGUUGGUUUUGCGUUUUUGCAGCAAACUCAAAUUAGAGAGAGGAGAUGAAGAAUACCAUACGUGAGGGAGCCAACCAACGAGAUCUUUUUUUUUAUAUUAUGAAAACAGGUUGUCAGCCACCUAUUGGUUCUUAUAGGAUUGUUUUGAAAUAAAAAAGCACCUUUCUCAUGCACCGUGUGUCCGUCUCAAAUUGGCUAUAUCCCUCUUUUUUGUCUUUUUCGUUUUAGUGGAGUGAGAGAAAGAUGCUAGUGGGAAUCCCAAAUGUGUUUCUCAUUUUUUGUGUAGUCUCUCUUGUUGGAGGAACAAAACCAUUGCCAGCUUUUUGUUUAUUUUAUCACCAUCGAGAAAAGCGGGUUCAUGAGAGGGAGAGAAAUUUUGAAUGGAUUUCUUGUGAGGACACAUGGCACAAAGUUAUUAGAAGAAGAGAUAUAUUUUCCUAUUUUCUUGAUUUUCUUUAACAAAUUUAAAUUAUUAAGUGGAAUUUCAAAAAUAAAUUAAAAAUAAACGACACAAUCAAAAUUCAAACUAAAAACAAGAUAAUUUCUAAAUAAUCGUCUCGAUUAUUUUGACUAGAAAACAUAAAUAAAUGGAUAAAAAAUUAAUAAAAAUCGGGCGCAAAAAUGCCCAAAAAAUUAAUAUGGUUGCACCACAAUGAUCAAUGCAAAAUAAACUUCUCGAAAACAUACAGUUUUUUAUCGAAUUUGAAAAAAAAAUGUCCGAUUAAAACGCUCAGGCAAAUGAAAAUGUAACCGAAAAAGUAGCUGAAAAAAUAAAUCGAGCACACCAGGUUAAACUACGUGAAACAUAGAUUAAUAAAAUUGAUGUUUGUAAACUCAAUUUUGAUAUUUUUCGUCCGCUGAUUUGACACACAUUUGAAAAUUGAUUCAAUCAGUCUGUUUGUAGAUCCAAAAAUUUAUUUUGACUAACAUUCUAGGAAUUAUGCGGUAUGGGGUGCAUGUUAUGAUAUGCAGAGAUGCAAAAACUGUGAUAUAUGUAUUGAUUCCGCGAUUCAGGGUCAAAAUUGGGGUGUGACACAUAUGUCUCAUGAUUAUUAACUGAAUAAUAAUAAUAAGUCAUAACAUUAACAUUAAUAUCAUCCGGUCAUAUGUCUUGAUCAAGUAAAAAUAGGUUCGUCCUCAAAUUUGACCUAACCUAAAGGAAUCUAGCUACUCGUGCUGAAAUUAAUCAAUACCAGUAGUUUAGAUUCAAAGAGCAUGAAAAAUCACUAAAGAAGAAGCUCUCCAAUGGCCUUCAAAAUCUCCAAAAUCACUCUAAAACGUCUCUCUCUCUCUCUCUCUCUCUCUUCUCUCUCCUCUCUUCUCCCCUCCUCCUCUCUCUCUCUUUUAUAUAAAGUUGCUGGAACGCGGGCACGUUGCACUAUCAUUACUUCAAUGUUGGCGUAUUGCUUUUCAAUGCUGGCUCGUUAGAGGCAGUGUGCGCAUGUUAUAGUCGUGUAAAAUCCAGGGGCUUCAAUGCGUUUUUGCUCCUUUUUUUCACCAAUUUUCUCACUAAGUCAUUUUCUUCACCCUAUGACGUUUUUUUCCAACUUUUUCAAUUAAAUGCUUCUAACUUGCUCAAUUCUUUUCAGAAUUCAACGAUUUUUCUUGCUAAAUGACGUGCAUUGAUAACCCUUCAUCAUAACCCCAAAUUUAAAUUGUUGCUUGUCCUCAAGUAACCUGUACGCACACUAAAACUUUAUCAAAAAAAUUAGAAACCUUACCACAUGAAUGUCACUUGAUUUUGCUAAUCAAGACCUUCGUUUCAUGAUUAGGUUUAAUCAAAUCUGAUAAUUUAUUACAUCAUCAUUACUUAACAUGUCUCUCUACUUACCAUGAUGCACUCAAUUGAAAGGAUGUUCACUCAAUCAACAUGCAAGGGUAAAAACCAGUGAAUUUAUAAGUUAUCUCCAAAAUCAGUCAGAUCAUAUUUAAACGCACAUAUUUGAGGAUUUUUUCAGUUGUAAUAUGGCUUAUGUCAGGGUAGGAUAAUUUUUGGAUAAUUGGUUUAAACCUUGGAGUUAGGUACCUCUUUGUCCUUCCGUUAUCUUUUCCCUUUCAUAUCAUUCUUUCUUUCAUACUUGGUACUAGAGAUUUUUCAAAUUUGUGGUCUUUUUCAUCAAUUUAUUUUUUGAAAAUGCCAUGUUUUAACAUCUUAUUUUAUUUAUUUUUCUUUUCUUAGACCAAAUACUAUAGUACCCCCAACCCCAAAUUAAGUGUUGCUAACUUCUAAGAGCAACCCCAAACUUAGUGUUAGCUUAUACCAAAAUUAAAAUCUAUCUACCUAACUCUAAGGAGGAUGGAAAGAUUUAUAUAUUUUAAGUCAAGGGCUUAUAAUAGGCUAAUUCUCCGAAGGAAAUGCUAAUUCACAAAUUGGUUAACAAUGGAUAUCAGUCAUAAUGUAAGGGUAGUUUAUAAGUCCGUAGAGUUUUCACAAACAAUUGCCUUUAUGCAUGUUUAUCAUAUCAACUUACUUUAAACAAAUAAAAUGUAAGUUCUAGAUAUUACAAUUGCAUGGAUACACUGAGAAAAAUAAAUAAGUAAACAAAUGGAAAUAUUAUGGCUCAAACCUCACAAGUUUAUAUUUGUAGAUUAAGCAACAACAAUGGUGUCCCCUUUCUUCAUUAAUCAUUACUCAGCAAAGUCACUUUGAUCUCGAUCACACUAUUCUCUAUCUAUUGUGACUUAUUUUCUAUUCAAAGGUAAGGUAGUAAUUAAACUGAAAAAGAAACAUACACAAACAAAAUUCAUUUAUCAAAGACAAAGCAAUACAAAAUUUAGGGCAGACAACAUUUUUGGAGCUCCCCCUUUUUAACUGAUUGGUACAAAAGGAAAUAAACAAAAGGAAAUAAAACAAAAGUAGUAUGUUGGACUAGAAACCAUCAUCAGGACGGAAGAAGUCAUGAAGUCGAGUAAGGUCAUCAUUAUAUUCCUGAUUCUACCUAGCCCAAAGGAUCCUCAUCUCUGCUUGCAUGUUUUCUAAGCUUUGAUUCUGCUCCACAAAGUGCGUCUCUGUCGCUACUAAAGUAGGAGAUUUUUUGCUUAGAUUAGGGACAAAUACAUGAUCUAUGCGAUGAUCAUAAAAAUCUUGGUACCCGACCCAAAUCUCGGGGUGUUGAUGUACAGAUUAGGCGACGCUUCAUGAGCCUAAGUGGUUAUGCCCAAGGAAAAUUCUUAUCACUGAUGCAUUUGUUCAGAACGUUGCUGAUUUUGAUGGGCUUCCUCAGGUGGUUGUUUCAUCUCAGGACGGUAGACAUCAUCCUCUCCUUGCUCCUCUUGGCCUCUGGCUGGAUGACGUGGGUGGAGGGUCUUGCGGAUGGAACUUGUUGUGGUUAGAAGCAUAUGGUUGAUCAUCACCUCUUCUGGGUGCAUCUGGACUCCUGCCAACCUGCAAAAUUUGUUAAUAACACAAAAGUGCUCCCUAUUUCUUUGGGGGGCAUCAUCCAUAAAUUUGAUGUUUCUCGUAAUGAGUAUUCCCAUAUUAAUAUGCUCAUAAUGCAAGAUAGCCGUGAGAGUCUGGCACAUUCUCACCGUCAAGUCAGAAUGAGUUGAAAUGCCUCCAAGGUUUGGAUUAAAAACGAAGCCCAAGCCUUAGGUAUCAGGAGCAUGUCUCUAACCUUCAAAUUAAUAAACCUAUCUUAAGCCAUUAUCCACUCAGUCUCAGGAUGACAAAACUCAGCCAACAUCAUCUGACUCAUCUCAUCAGAUAAUCGCACCUUCCUACUAUUUUGAAUGUUACAACUUGGAGGUGCUUGGAGACGAAUAAGAGAAUUAAUAGCUUGAGGAGAAAAAUCAAUACUUUUACCUCGGGCAUAUGAUGUGUAAUCAUGAGAUUUUUGAUUGGCAGCGUUCACGUAGAACUCAAACCCAAUGUUUUACUUGUCUCCUUAAUCAGCUUAUUCAGGCACGUUCAUCCUCUUGUCUCUAGUAUGUUGUUUAACUCUUCAAAUCUAGAGAGAUGCUCCUGAUCAAAGGCACACUCCCUCAUAAUUAUGAACUUCUUAAUCUGCAUGAGUUUUUAUGCGCUCGGUUCAUUCACAAAUAGAUACGAGGGGUAGUUGGAGCUGAUGAUAUGGAUUGACCAAAGGUACAACUUCUAUUUGGUGGUGCCAUAAAUUAUGUAAACACAAUAGUGAAAACAACAAGUCUUUUGCAAGAAUAUGAUAGUAAUUUGUGAGAAGAAGAGAGAAUUAAGAUUGGAAUGAAAAAGAAUAGCUGAAAAACCACUUUUAAAGGCCAGCUUCGCGUCCAACGUGCGCGUUGAGAUCGAAGGUGCCCGCGUUGACCAAUGGUAGAGCCAACGAUCAUCAAUCCAACGGUCAAAGCAAAUGGUCAAAAUCCCCAACUAUCAAAUCCUUCCACGCGCCCGUAUUUUUUCAGGGGCUAUCUCCAUUUUUCUGUACAAGAUUUUACUUUUCUAUCACUUGCUUAUUGUUACAUGCUACCUCCAUUGCCUUUUUUGAUGAUUCUACUCAUCCAACAAACAUAAAAAAUACGAACACAAUAAAAUAAAAAAUACAUUUAAAUUUAAAUUAAUGGAAAUUAAAAUUAUCUGAUAUGAAAUUAAUUAGAAUGGAGACAGUUAGACUAAUUGUUGCAAUCAGUAGUUAUUAGAGAUUCCUAUGUAGCAAUUAUAUGUGAAUUCAUUUGUCCUCGAUGGAAAACUAGAAUAAGUAGUUUCGAGAUAAAAGAUGUGUACAAGUUGAAGACAAAUCUUAAUGGAUUGAUACAAGCACCUAUAUUGAUGGGUUCCUACUUCAACAAAUUUAUAUUUUAAGAGCUCAACAAUUAAUCAUAAGUUGAUUAUGUACACUUUAUGUUGAUGACGAGAUCAUAAAUGGGAAUGGUGAACUUGAGAAGAAUAAAUUCAUGAAAUACUCGAUGAAUGAGUUUAAGAUGUAUCAUCUUAAAGCCUUGUCAUACAAUAGAAAGAGUACUAGUGCAUCAAAAUAUAUAUGCAAAAGAUGUAAUCGCAUGGUGAUAUAAGAGAAUUCUUGCUAUUGUUGAUCAAAUUUUAUUUAUUUUGGAUGUCUUUUUUGUCCACUCAAUUAAAAGGAAUUGUAUUCUUGCGAACUUGCUAAAGCAAUUUCUAUUUAUAUUCUUAAGAUAUUAAUAUUUAUUCCAAGAUAAAGGCAUCCAAUUCCAAAUAUAGUGUACAUGUUACCAGUGGCGGAACUUACUGCUUUUGUAUUUAGCUAAAGCUUAUUUGAUGUAGAUUCUUAAGUCUGAGACGAUCUUUCAUCUCAUUAUAUGUUCCAAUUCAUUUUGAAGACAACACAAUUUGGGUUAUACUAAACUAAUUCAUAUGAAGGAGAAGUGAUCAAUACAGUAACUGAAAAUUAAAAAACUAAUUCACUAUCGAUGGAGAUGUGAGUUAAUUGAUGAAUUAACUAAAAAAUUAUGUCCUAACAAAAUAAUGGUUUAAAAAUUAUGCAUGAGAGUAUACAACAAAAUAAUGAUUUUUAAUUCCGCAUGAAAUUAAAAAAUUAUGUCACAACAAAAUAAUGGUUUAAAUGUAUCAUCUUAAAUCAUAGAAUGAAAGUAUACAUAUCAUCUUAAUCCUGCAUGUCAAACAAAAUAUAUCAAACAUUAUCUUUUUGGUUAAUCCAACGGUUGCAUUAUGAAAGUUUGAACUAUACGGGUCUUAAGCCCAAUUAACACUUUUAAAAAUUUGUAUUAAAUAUUUUUUAAAUAAAAAUAAAUAAAAUAAUAAUUAAUUUAUGAAAAAAUAUUAAAUAAUAAAUUAUUCUAAUCAUCGUUGUCAACUCAUUAAAAAAAAUUCUAAUCAUUACUGUCACGUCUGUAAAAUUAGAGGAAGACCAACUAAAUCCUAAAUGAUAUAAAAUUCAGGGGCCAAAAAGCUGGUUUUUAAAAUAGAUUGACUAAAAAUAUUAAAAAAAACAUCGAAGUAGGGGACCAAAAGUGCAUUUAAACUUUUUUUAUAAGUGUUUUUGGACUUUUCACACGUAUUAAGAAAAUAAUCAUUGUUGCAUGUCAAAGAGAAAUUACGAAGGAUUUUACAAUAUUGUCUUUUAUUAAUUGCAAAGGAAAUAUAAAUUUAAAUAAUUGAAAGAAAAUAUGAUAAUAAAUACUUAAAGGUGUAAUAGAGAAUAACAUUAAUGAUUUUUUAAUAUUGAAAAAUGAAUUAUAUUUUGAUACAAUUUUUUCUCCAAAGAGACGGAUGAAGUAAUGAAUAAUUAAUGUAGAGAUAUUUUUGGAAUAAAGAUAUUAAAUAAGUUGAUAUUUGUUUAUAUUUAAGAUCAAAUAUUUUUUUCUUAUAAAUAAGGUCGGGGUACUAUUAUAGGAGUACUUUCUCUAUUCUAAAUUAUAAGACAUUUUAGAUAUUUCACACGAAUUAAAAAAUAUAAUUAAUUUUGUAAGAAAAAGAUAAAUUAUGUAUGAUUUUACAAUAUUGUCGAUAAUUUGUUAUAUAUGCUUCAUUUAUUAUAUAUGAAGGAAAAAGUCAAAGAAUUUGAAAAAGAAAUAUUAAUAAAUGAUAAAGAGUAUCUUAAAAAAAUACAUAAUUAAUGUUGCAUUGGAAUUAUAAAGUAACUUACUCAUUCCAUCUUAAAAUAAAAAUCUUUUAAGGUUGUUACAUACAAAUUAAGAAAACUAAUGAUUGAAUAAAUAAAUAUAACAAUUUUAAAAAAUUGUCUUUAAUUAAUAUUGGUUGUCAUAAAUACAUAGUAUGGUUUAAUAACUCGAAUGUAAUAUAGACAAUAUUUAUAACACGUAAAGUUGAUAAAAAUUAAUUAAUAUUAUAUUGAAAAAGUAAAGAGACUUUUAUUUUGAAAUAAGAUUUUCUUAGGAAAACACUUACUUUAGGACAAAGCAGUAUAAUUGAGAAAUUUUUUUUAACAUAUUGACUUAUAUUUUGGGACAGAUAGAGUAAUAUUUUUAGUUAUAUUUAUGGAUCAACUAUCAACAUUAAAUUGUUUAAAAUUAAAUCAAUGGUAUAAUAGGAACACAAGUAUUAAUUAGUUUUAAAAUGAUUGAAUUUUAAUUGUAAUAGUGAUCAAGAUUUAAGAUCAUAUUUUUGCUUAUAAUAAUGACACGAGCGAGUAUAUAUUUGGAAUUAAAAAAUUAAAAGAAUCAAGUUAAUUUUUUUAAAAUAUUUUUUAAAAAAAAAGAUUGUUUUUUUCUUAUAUUUUGUUCUGACGUAUUUCCAGGAUCCCUUAUUUUCUUGUUAUCUGAUGUAUUUUCAAAUAUUCUUUUGUAAUUUUGAUGCAUUUCAAGAGUUUUUUUCUUUUACCCUCUGAUGAAUUUCUAGAUGCGCCUUAUCCCUACCUAAUGUAUUUUCAAAUAUUCCAUUAUCAUUCAGACAUAUUUCCAUCAUUUGUUUUUUUUAUCCGAUGAAUUACCACAUACGAAUGUUGAGUUCUGAGGUAUUUUCAGAAUCUAUCCAUUUUAUUUCCGGAUUAUUUCAUUUAUAUCUCUAAUGUAUUUUCAGAUUAAGUGUUAUGUUCUGAGGUAUUUCUAGAACCUAUCUGAUGUAUUUUUGGAUUUAUGUCAUUAUCUUUAUAAUAUAUUUCCAGAACAUACUUUUAAUAUUUUCUAGUGUCUUUUAUUCAUCAAAUUGUCAUCCCCAGUGAGUCUUCACCUCCAUUGUCUUUUUCAUUCCCUGUGGAUCGCUGUUACAUUUUUCCAUCAUUAUCCACGGGUCCAUUAUCCUUUUGUUCCUCAUCCAUCAUAAAAUCCCCGUGCUAUGAUUCAUCUCAUACCACAUCAUAUUCCUAGCAAACAAAAAUGAAGAAAAAAAAGAGUUUAUGAUGCAUUCAUAACAUUUCAUAAAGGGACAAAAUUUGGAUCCUUUAAUAUUUAACUAUCUCUCACCGCGAUCAUAUGAAGAGUGUCCAUAUUCAUAUUCUUUGGUCGAAGAUACUUAAAUAGGGAAACUGUCAUACUCCAAUUUUUUUUCUCUCAUUCAAUAAAUUGAUGCAUACAUCAUGAUAUUUGCAUCACCUGCCUAGCAUAAUAUGCAUUUCAUCUUACAUAAUGCUUAAAAUGUCAAUCAAAAUAAAUUUUCGAAUAUACAAUUCUCAAAUGUACAUAAAAUUAGCGAGCAAAAUUUUUUGAAAUCAAACUUGUAAACAUCAAUUUUAUUAAUCUACGGUUCGCAUAGUUCAACCUGUCGUUCUCGUUUUAUUUUUUCGACUCCUUUUUUGUCGCAUUUUGAUCAGGUUUAGCAUUUUAACCUAUCAUUUUUUACUUUAAAAUUUGAUCAAAACCUAAUCAUUUUCUAGAAGUUUAUUUCAGGCUGUUUAUUUUAGUCCAUUCAUUUUAAUUUUUCGACCAUUUUUGUGUCAAUUUUUAUUCAUGUUGAGUCCUUUUAUUUUUGUCAAAAUGUUUUCAUUUCGAUUUCAUUGUAAUUAUUUUUAAGUGUUUGAUUUUUAUUUUGCUUAAUUAGUUUUAAUUCAAUUUAUCUCUUAAAAAUAUAUAAAGGGCAUUGUGGAAAUAUUUGAUUUUUAAAAAACCCUAGUGUAGUUAUUAUAUAUAAAAUCACCAAUGACCAGUGGAGAGAGGGAGAAGCAGCGGCAUAUCAUCUCCUUUACUAGUCUCGUCAUCUCUCAAAAUGAGUUAUGAUGAAACCUUUUUUUUCUUGGCAACAUUAUAGUUCCUCUUGUAUUCAUUAAAUGCAUGAAUCUCUUCUCUCAAAUAAAAAGACAAGAGAAUCAUGAACAAAAAGAAAAAAGAAAAGUGCAUAAAACUAAAGGCUUGGUGUUUCACUAUUCAUGUUCUUCUUCAACAAACAUAUAGCUCCUUCACGCCACCUUUCUUCAUUUCUCACCAUCAACAACAAUAAUCUUCAUGUAAAAACUUCUACACACCACUUAAAACCUCAUAAAAAUCACACCAAACAACUUUAAGCAUCAACCUACACCACACUUUCAUGAAGAUCUCCAAGUCCUCUAACACAAACUUCAUAAUCUAUUCUAUUCAACCAACCUUCAUCAUCUCACUAAACUAAUCUUCUUCAACUCUCACACUCCAAAACCAUAAACAACACUGUUGGUGCAAAGGUAGAAUAAAAGAUGAAUAUUCUAUUAAGAGAAUGACGGCUACAAAAAGGAUUAAAAGUUACAAUGAUUGACCCCCUAUUUAUAAGCCUCUAACAAACUUAAAUAUGAAUCAAAUCUAAUAUUUAAAUCUAAUAUCUAACAAACUUAAAUAUGAAUCAAAUCUAAUAUUUAAAUCUAAUAUCUAACAAACUUAAAUAUGAAUUAAAUCUAAUAAUUAAUCUAAUCCAUCCCUUAAUUCAUAUUCCAUCAAAACUUGAACACCAAUUCCAUCCCUUAAUCUGAGAAAUUGAUCAGUCUUGAUAGUUUCGUCAGAACAUCUGCCAACUGCUUCUGAGUGCUGCAGUGUACAACUUCUAACACUCCCCUCUGAACUUGAUGUCUCAGAAAAUGAUACUUGGUCUCAAUGUGCUUGCUUCCCCAUGCAACACUGGGUUUCUGGCAAGAUUGAUUGCAGACUUGUUGUCAAUCAUCAGCUUCAGAGGUUUGUUUACUUUAAUCUUCAGAUCCUGCAAUAGAUUCAGAAUCCACACAGCUUGGCAUGCAGUAACAGCACCUGCAAUAUAUUCAGCUUCACAAGUUGACAACGCCGCAACAGGUUGCUUCUUGAACACCAAGAAAUGGGACCUCCCAGAAAUUUGAAUAAGUACCCAGACGUACUUCUUCUGUCAAAUCUGUCUCCACACCAAUCAGAAUCUGAAUAACUCAGAAGUUCUGACUCAUCCUUUCUUCCAGAAGAAAUAAUACUCCAUACUUCAGAGUUCCCUUGAUAUACCUCAGAAUCCUGACAGCAGCUUGGUAAUGGGACCACUUAGGUUUACUCAUAGAACCUACUAACCAUCCCAACUGAAUAGCAAUAUCAGGUCUGGUAUUGCACAAAUACCUCAGAGAACCAACCAACUGUUGAAGGUUGUAGCGUCCACAUCCUUCCAUCAGAGUCAGAAUCCAGUUUCUGAUUUGUAUCAGAUGGUGUGACAGCAAUCUUACAAUUCUUCAAUUCAAAUCUCUUCAGAAGUUCUAAUUCAUACUUGAGCUGAUGCAAAAUAAUACCUUUCUCAGAGUAUCUGAAUUCCAUCCCUAGAAAGUAUGUCAUUUUGCCUAGAUCAGUCAUUUCGAAUUCAUUCAUCAGAACUUUCUUGAACUUGGCUAUCUCCUGUUCAGAACUUCCAGUCAAGCAGUAUAUCAUCAACAUAUAAACAUACCAGAGUCAUAUUUCCUUCAGAAGUAUGUUGAACAUAGACACACGUACUCCAUCUCACAUUUCUGAAAGCCUUGCUUCUUGAAAAAGAAUCAAUCUUCUUAUUCCAAGCUCUGGGCGCUUGUUUCAAUCCAUAUAGAGCUUUGUAUAAUCUGUACACCAUCCCUUCCUGAUUCUUUUUCACAAAUCCAGGAGGUUGUGACCCGUAAACUUCUUCUUCUAAUGGACCAUUCAGAAAUGCAGAUUUUACAUCUAAAUGCAUCAGAGGCCAAUUCCUGUUAGAAGCUAUUGCAAUCACCAUUCUGAUUGUUUCAUGUCUUGCUACAGGUGCAAACACUUCAGAGUAAUCCAACCCAGUUUUCUGUUAGAAAUCCUCUGGCUACCACCUUGCUUUAUGUUUGCCAAUUGAACCAUCUGGCUUUAACUUCUGCUUGAAAACUCAUCUGACGCUGAUGGCUUUCUUGUCUUUUGGAAGUUCUGUCAGCUUCCAAGUCUUGUUUCUCUCUAUAGCAUCAAGUUCUUCUUUCAUGGCCUUCAACCAGAGCUUCUGCUUAAGAGCCUCUUCUGUACUUAUGGGUUCAGAGUCUACUAACAUGGCACACUGAAUAACUUCUCCUUCAGAGUCUACUUCAGUGUCUUGCAGCAUGUCAAAUUCUGCAUAUCUCUGGGGAUGUUUCUGACUCUUUGUGGUCUCUGAACUUGUUCAGAGUCUUCAACUUCAGAGUUUCUACCUUCAGAUGGUUGACUUCCUCCAGAGCUUUGACCAUCUCAGGGGCUGGCAUAUUUCUAGAGUCUGAAUUGCCACUAGAAUCUGGAUUACCAUCAGAGUCUGGGUCAUCAGAGUCUGGAUCAUCAGAGUCUGAAACAUCAGAGUCUGGAACAUCAGAGUCUGGAACAUCAGAUUCUGGAUCACUAUCAGAGUCAGAAUCAACGUCAGAGUUUACUCCAACCUCAGAAAUUCUGAACUCUGACCUUUCUUCAGAAGUUCUAACAUCAGAAUCAGAUUGAGACUUUUCCUCCAAUUCCAAACUUCUGAUUCCUUCACAAUCACACUCUGCUGAAUUCAAUUUUAUUGGUUUCUGGACAAUAGAGCUUGUAUGCACCUGUACUGUGGUACCCUAUCAGAAUCAUCACUUUGCUUCUAUCAUCCAGCUUCUGUCUUCUGGCUUCUGGAACAUGUUUAUAGCAAACAGAACCAAACACCUUCAGAUGACUAACACUUUGCUUAUCUCCAGUCCACUUCUGUAUUGGAACUAUUCCUUCAACUUCUUCGUAGGACAUCGGUUGAGUACAUACGUUGCAGUGGCAACAGCUUCUCCCAGAGCUUCUGAGGAAGCUUUCU
RNAcentral lists this long non-coding RNA (19233 nucleotides) under Lathyrus oleraceus (garden pea). RNAcentral describes it as "Pisum sativum (pea) long non-coding RNA (PSAT_LNC029552)". Lineage: Eukaryota; Viridiplantae; Streptophyta; Magnoliopsida; Fabales; Fabaceae. The record is from RNAcentral.